This 63-nucleotide transfer RNA is filed under the name Brachystomella parvula. Its description in RNAcentral is "tRNA-Tyr". The record is from RNAcentral. Lineage: Eukaryota; Metazoa; Arthropoda; Collembola; Poduromorpha; Brachystomellidae.
AAUAAAAUGGCUGAAUUGAGGCAUUAAACUGUAAAUUUAAUUAUAGGGUCUACCUUUUUGUUA